UACGGGGGGGGCAAGCGUUGUUCGGAAUUACUGGGCGUAAAGGGCUGGUAGGCGGCCAACUAAGUCGGAUGUGAAAUCCCCAGGCUUAACCUGGGAACUGCAUCCGAUACUGGUCGGCUUGAAUCCGGGAGAGGGAUGCAGAAUUCCAGGUGUAGCGGUGAAAUGCGUAGAUAUCUGGAGUAAUACCGGUGGCGAAGGCGGCACCCUGGACCGGCAUUGACGCUGAACAGCGAAAGCGUGGGGAGCGAACAGG
RNAcentral lists this ribosomal RNA (253 nucleotides) under uncultured bacterium. RNAcentral's name for it is "partial 16S ribosomal RNA". It matches the Rfam family "Bacterial small subunit ribosomal RNA", at positions 524 to 776 of the family's 1533-position model. The record is from RNAcentral.